ACCUUGUACCUUUCUUUCAAUGAAAUCUUUUAAACUGGCACAAUCGUUCGUUUCAUGACCCGAAGCUUGAUGGUAAUCACAAUAUUUGCGAGGAUUUCCUUUUUCGGGCUUAAUGUUAUCUCGAGGUGGCUUGAAGAUAGGUUGAUUUUUGAUCUGAUCUAAGAUAACAGCCCUGUCUGCAUUGAGUGCCGUGUACGUCCUAUUUACUCUCUGGGCUGGAGCGGACGAACG
Molecule: long non-coding RNA, 231 nt
Filed under: Panax ginseng (ginseng)
Lineage: Eukaryota; Viridiplantae; Streptophyta; Magnoliopsida; Apiales; Araliaceae
Description: long non-coding RNA (PGIN_LNC006796)
Source: RNAcentral